CCCUACUACUUACUUUGAUUCAAAAGGCGAACAGCUUUCAAUACUAGUUGUUACGUUACGCUGCCAUUUUUCCAAUAUCAUUGAAUAGCAUGCAUGGCCCGGGGCUAAGGUAACUCAAGUGGGGGAGCCGUGUUAUGGGUGACCUUAUUGCACGGUUCAGAGAGCACUUGUGUAUGUGAUGCAAGUGAACGUGUACGAAAACUGUAUAUGAUGCAAGUGAACGUGUAAGAAAAAGCUGUCGUAAAGUUUUGUUGUUCGUUCCGUUGUCGACCCUAUAUAUGUUUCUAUGAUGGCCCAAGAACACGCUUAUUCUUCAGCCGUAGAGAGACUUUUGAAUUGCGAGGUACCAUUACGAGCUCAAUAUAUACGAGUGUUAUUCCGUGAAAUAACUCGAAUUUCAAAUCAUUCACUUGCUUUAACUACUCAUGCUAUGGAUGUGGGAGCAUCAACUCCGUUCCUGUGGGCUUUUGAAGAGCGGGAGAAAUUGUUGGAAUUCUAUGAAAGAGUCUCGGGAGCCAGGAUGCAUGCCAGUUAUAUGAAAGAGUCUCAGGAGCCAGGAUGCAUGCCAGUUUCAUACGACCAGGUGGAGUGGCACAAGAUCUGCCUCUUGGCUUAUGUCGAGAUAUUGAUUCCUCCACACAACAUUUUUCUUCUCGUAUCGAAAAAUUACAAGAGAUGUCAACCGGCAACCGUAUCUGGAAACAACGAUUAGUGGAUAUUGGUACUGUCACUGCGCAGCAAGCAAAGGAUUGGGGAUUCAGUGGUGUAAUUUUAAAAGGUCGUGUGACAUGAAGACAUUGAUAGCAAUAUGGGGGAAGUUCCCAUCAGGCAACAACGGUUCUGCCUGACCGUACUUAAGCAUACAUAUUAUGUCAGUGAAGACUUUGUGUGAAGCCUUGGAGCUUACGUUAGAAGAGCAAAAGGCCUGGGGCUAGGGUGAGCUGAGGGGGGGCAGCGUAAGUGAGUGAAUGUGUGUAAGCCCAGUCAAACAUGACUGGUCUUGGCGGGCCACCCGCUUUAGAAUGGUGUUGGUCCUACAGACCGUGAACGGAUUUCACCUCUGGCCUCUGGGCACGUCGGAACCGCAUGAGUUCACCGGGGUGGAGCACGGUCCGCCAAAAUCGGCAUAGGUUAGGUGCUAUUGAUGGAACAUGGUAAGCCUAUCUUUCUCCAUAUGGAAGUGCUGCGGGCACAUAGAGAUGUGGGUAGAGGAAGCCUCAAAAAGCGAAGACCGAGCUGUAAAUCACGUGACCUGCACCGAGUUGGUGGCUGGGGCACAUAGAGAUAUGGGUAGAGGAAGCCUCAAAAAGCAAAGUUCGAGCUGUAAAUCACGUGACCUGCACCGAGUUGGUGGCUGACUAGGCUUUUUCCUGGAUCAAAGCGGAUCAGCUCGCCCUCUUGUUAUCCGAAAUUUGGUCAAAUCGGGCGGGCCCCUGCCUCCAAACGUCGAAUGAAAUAGGUGUAGGGUUCUCUUUCUACAUCCCUUUUGAUAUGAUAGGCCCGAC
Molecule: long non-coding RNA, 1505 nt
Filed under: Linum usitatissimum (flax)
Lineage: Eukaryota; Viridiplantae; Streptophyta; Magnoliopsida; Malpighiales; Linaceae
Description: long non-coding RNA (LUSI_LNC006734)
Source: RNAcentral